Clarias gariepinus (North African catfish) is the source of this 105-nucleotide small nuclear RNA. The record is from RefSeq and is a predicted model, not a curated record. NCBI's taxonomy places the organism in Eukaryota, Metazoa, Chordata, Actinopteri, Siluriformes, Clariidae.
UUUGAUAAGGGUUAGGUGAUGACAAAUAUUGGAUUGAUAGAGAGAAGAUUAGCAUGGCCGCUGCGAAAGGGUGCCAUGCAAAUCCAUGAUGGAUUGAGCAACGUU